GACGGAGGAUGCAAGCGUUAUCCGGAAUGAUUGGGCGUAAAGCGUCCGCAGGUGGCAGUUCAAGUCUGCUGUCAAAGACCGGGGCUUAACUUCGGAAAGGCAGUGGAAACUGAACAGCUAGAGUAUGGUAGGGGCAGAGAGAAUUCCUGGUGUAGCGGUGAAAUGCGUAGAGAUCAGGAAGAACAUCGGUGGCGAAGGCGCUCUGCUGGACCAUAACUGACACUCAGGGACGAAAGCUAGGGGAGCGAAUGGG
Molecule: ribosomal RNA, 253 nt
Filed under: uncultured bacterium
Lineage: Bacteria
Description: partial 16S ribosomal RNA
Rfam family: Bacterial small subunit ribosomal RNA
Source: RNAcentral